RNAcentral lists this unclassified non-coding RNA (241 nucleotides) under Hevea brasiliensis (rubber tree). The record is from RNAcentral. Lineage: Eukaryota; Viridiplantae; Streptophyta; Magnoliopsida; Malpighiales; Euphorbiaceae.
GAUUUUUUCUGUUGAUGUUCAUGUGUUAUAUCUGCAUAAGCUGACAUUGAAGAGAGCAAUAAUAAUUUGGCGAUAAUAAUUAAACUUUAAGGUUACAUAUUUUUUGUUCUCCCCAGCACUUGGUUAUGCUGCCUAUUGAAUGAUGGAAAAUGUAAAACCUCACAAGGGUCUAAUGAGAAUAAUAUGCAACUUAAAAAUCAUGAUUUAUGCACAUUCCUUCUCUAUUUUGUUUGUCGAAACG